AUUGGGCGUAAAGGGCUCGCAGGCGGAUUCUUAAGUCUGAUGUGAAAUCCCCCGGCUCAACUGGGGAGGUGGCCUUGGAUACUGGGUAUCUUGAGUGUGGAAGAGGAGAGUGGAAUUCCAAGUGUAGAGGUGAAAUGCGUAGAUAUGCGGAGGAACACCAGUGGCGAAGGCGACUCUCUGGUCUGUUACUGACGCUGAGGAGCGAAAGCGUGGGGAGCGAACAGGAUUAGAUACCCUGGUAGUCCACGCCGUAAACGAUGAAUGCUAA
RNAcentral lists this ribosomal RNA (268 nucleotides) under Bacillus subtilis. Its description in RNAcentral is "partial 16S ribosomal RNA". It matches the Rfam family "Bacterial small subunit ribosomal RNA", at positions 553 to 819 of the family's 1533-position model. The record is from RNAcentral. Lineage: Bacteria; Bacillati; Bacillota; Bacilli; Caryophanales; Bacillaceae.